GGUGACCAGAGGCCAACUCCCCACAGAAACGCUGAGUCCACAGUGCAAGGUCCAGCGUGGUCAAUGUCCCCGAGUUCAUGCUGUGGAGGAUCAGGAGACACGGGUGUUAUGGCCACAACAAGAAAAGAAUCUAGAGAGACCACUAUCUAUCCCAGAAGAUGGACACAACUGUGCAGAUCAAAGCCACCCAAAGAGCAAAAGGUGCUGGAUGUCAAACAUCACAGUGGCUUAAUAAGAAUAAGUUUAAAGCUGGGCACAGCACAUGCAUCUGUAGUACCAGCUUCAGAAGGCUGAGGCAGGGGGAUCAUGAGUUCAAGUGCAAUUCUGCUUAAAAAAGAAGUAAAAAAAAAUGGUCUAACUAUAUGAAGUUGGUAUUUUUAUGUUCUAAGGAUGACUGGAUUAGGCAGUUUCAUAUGGCUUACCCUGAUGAAAUAUUUAUUGUGUUUUAUGUGGCAAUGGUGUCCUAAGAGUUUAGGGCUGGGGACAUGGCUCAGGUGUUGGACCACUUGCCUAACACACACCAAGUCCUGACUUUGAUCCCCUUUGCCACAUGGGAUUAGAUGUGGCAGUACAUGUCUGUAAUUUCAGCAUUUGGGAGAUGGAGGCAAGAGGGUCAUCCUUGGCUACAUAGCAAGUUCCAGGCCAACUCAGGCUGCACGAGACCCUGGCUCCCACAAAGACAUCUUCCUAUUUUCUGACUAACAUACCCGUCUCAAGUCUCUCUGCAGAUGUCACAUCCUUGUCCAGAGAGGAAGAAGCUAAGGCCUGCAGGGCAAAUCACUUGCCAGCCCAAGCGCAAAGACUGCUAAGCAGGGGUGGGAUUUGAAUUCUAGAGUCGCACAAGGAUCUCCAACCCCAGGGACAGCGCAACUUACGCCAGCGUUUCCACUUGAGGGCACUUCUGAAGGCUGGAGGCCAGCUGCUGGGCACCGGCAGCCGUGAACUUGUUGAACUGGACACUGAAGAGAGAGGCCCAUCCUGAGGCCUGGCUACUCACAUCCCAACCCUUCCUUCCCAUGAUGCAGUGUGUGUGUAAGUCAGAAGAUAAGGUGCAGAAGUCGGCUCUCUCCUGCUCCCGUGUGGGUCCUGAGGAGAGAACUCAAACUGUCAAUCUGGCAGCAGCAACUUCACUGGCUAAGUCACCCUGCCAGCCUUCCCCACCUCUUAUUUUCUUGAGACUGAUUCUCCAGGCUGGCCUUAAACUCAUGGUCAUUCUACUGUCUCAGCCUCCCCAUGCUACUAUGCCCAGAUCACUGUGUUAUAAUUAUGAUUUAUUUGCUUGUUUGCUUUUGGUUUAUCAUAUGUAAAGAUGCCUGAGGCCUGGAAGCAGGAUCUUCAGGUUCUCCACUGUUGCCUAUGAUAGACAGCAAGGGUUCUUUAAGUGUUUGUUGAUUAAUCCAAUAAAUGAGGU
Myodes glareolus (Bank vole) is the source of this 1411-nucleotide non-coding RNA. NCBI's taxonomy places the organism in Eukaryota, Metazoa, Chordata, Mammalia, Rodentia, Cricetidae. The record is from RefSeq and is a predicted model, not a curated record.